RNAcentral lists this long non-coding RNA (318 nucleotides) under Malus domestica (apple). Its description in RNAcentral is "long non-coding RNA (MDOM_LNC002029)". The record is from RNAcentral. Lineage: Eukaryota; Viridiplantae; Streptophyta; Magnoliopsida; Rosales; Rosaceae.
CAUGUAAGAACUCGAUAGUUGCAAUAUGCAAAGUAGUCCUUUGACCCGAGACAUCAUAGAUGUCUAAUGGUUAGGUCCUUGAUCUUUGAUCAUGUUAAAUGGCAUUCCAUUGGAGUGUCCACGACAUUGUUGGGAUCAAGCUAUCUAGUCAUGUAGGCAUAUGAAUGUACAACAAGGGAUCUCUAACCUUCCAUGGUGGAAGGAGAAUACUCUAAGAUAUGAUUCGGGAGUCUUUGGCCAAAGCAUAUGAAUAUGACUUAGGAAGUUUGUUCCAAAUCAUGUUCAAUUGAAUCAUAUAGAGAAGUAUCACAUUGGAUA